AAGGAAGAAGAAAAACCAAAAAAAAUGAAGAAAACACGAAAAACGAUAUUAAUAAUUCCAUUUACAAUCGAUCAGCGCCUCUCUCACUGUUAUUUUCUUUCUCUAUUUUAAAAUAUCAUUCACU
Molecule: non-coding RNA, 124 nt
Filed under: uncultured eukaryote
Lineage: Eukaryota
Source: RNAcentral